RNAcentral lists this ribosomal RNA (433 nucleotides) under uncultured bacterium. Its description in RNAcentral is "partial 16S ribosomal RNA". It matches the Rfam family "Bacterial small subunit ribosomal RNA", at positions 29 to 507 of the family's 1533-position model. The record is from RNAcentral.
AACGAACGCUGGCGGCAUGCCUAACACAUGCAAGUCGAACGAAACCUUCGGGUCUAGUGGCGCACGGGUGCGUAACGCGUGGGAACCUGCCCUUAGGUUCGGCAUAACUCCCCGAAAGGGGUGCUAAUACCGGAUAAUGUCUUCGGACCAAAGAUUUAUCGCCUUUGGAUGGGCCCGCGUUGGAUUAGCUAGUUGGUAGGGUAAAAGCCUACCAAGGCGACGAUCCAUAGCUGGUCUGAGAGGAUGAUCAGCCACACUGGGACUGAGACACGGCCCAGACUCCUACGGGAGGCAGCAGUGGGGAAUAUUGGACAAUGGGCGAAGGCCUGAUCCAGCAAUGCCGCGUGAGUGAUGAAGGCCUUAGGGUUGUAAAGCUCUUUUACCCGGGAUGAUAAUGACAGUACCGGGAGAAUAAGCUCCGGCUAACUCCGUG